GAUGAACGCUAGCGACAGGCUUAACACAUGCAAGUCGAGGGGCAGCGAGGGCGUAGCAAUACGCCUGUCGGCGACCGGCGCACUGGUGAGUAACACGUAUGCGACCUGCCCCCUACAGGGGUAUAACCCCGUAGAAAUGCGGACUAAUCCCCCAUAGUCCCGCGGGCUGCAUGGUCUGCGGGGGAAAGGCCAGCCGGUAGGGGAUGGGCAUGCGGCGCAUUAGCUAGUUGGCGGGGCAACGGGCCCACCAAGGCGACGAUGCGUAGGGGUUCUGAGAGGAAGGUCCCCCCACACUGGUACUGAGACACGGACCAGACUCCUACGGGAGGCAGCAGUGAGGAAUAUUGGUCAAUGGGCGAGAGCCUGAACCAGCCAAGUAGCGUGCAGGGAAGACGGCCCUAUGGGUUGUAAACUGCUUUUAUAGGGGAAUAAAGUGAGCACGUGUGGUUUUUUGCAUGUACCCUAUGAAUAAGGACCGGCUAAUUCCGUG
This 490-nucleotide ribosomal RNA is filed under the name uncultured bacterium. RNAcentral's name for it is "bacterial SSU rRNA". It matches the Rfam family "Bacterial small subunit ribosomal RNA", at positions 28 to 507 of the family's 1533-position model. The record is from RNAcentral.